UCCUGCAGUCCUGCAGUUCUGCUCUCUGGGUCCUGAUUUUACUGACCACUACAUUCACUAUUGGGUCUGAAUCAGUGAACGGUCCAGUGAAGGUGAAGCUGCAUGACUCUGCUACUCUGUCCUGCUCUGAGAGAUGCUCUGGUUUAGCGAGAUGGACUGUGUUCCACAAACGCAGUGACACUCUGGCUGAGUGUGAUCAGACUUCAUGUAGAUCAGUGAAGGAGGGAUAUCAGAUGAUCCAUGAUCAGUACCUGAAGGGGAAUCUCUCUCUCAUCAUCACUGACGCUGAUUUCAGUAAGAGAGGCUGGUACACGUGUGACUGUGCCAGCAAGGACGUCUGUGAUGUUCAUCUACAGAUUGAGUCCUUGAACACUACAGUUGAGAUGAUGGCCGGUGAAUCUCUGAUCCUAAGGGUGGACGUAUCAGAUGCAGUGGACGUGAUUUAUAACAGUACAGGUACACCUGGACCAUCCAGUGGUCAGAUCUGUACAGUGGAUGGACCCUCACUACAGUGUAAACCUGAAUAGACACAGAGAUCAUCACUCACAUCUGGUGUUGAGCUGAGAAGAAUGGCUCCAUCUGACAGUGGAGUUUAUACUGUAAUGGACAGCAGGAAUAAAGAGGUCAUUCACACCUACACAGUGACCGUCCAAGAUGUACAGCAGAGCUCCAUAUGGAUGGAUGGAUAUCAGAAGGGAAGUGAAGAUGGAUAUCGCAAAGGAUUAGGAAUCGGAGCAGGGGUUUUCGGGGUCAUAGGUCUGAUUCUUGGAAUUCUGGUAAUGUUUCUUGGGCGGAAAGUGUGUUCCUCAGACAGAAGAUGAGAAGAUCCUUCAGGUGGAAUUUAAACUGAGGAAAAGGAAAGUGGUCAAACUUGUUGGUCAUACCGGUCCAGUGCAGCACGCGGUUCAACGUCAGCGCAGCAGCGUAAAACUUUGGGAGAGUCUGUUCAA
Pygocentrus nattereri (red-bellied piranha) is the source of this 950-nucleotide long non-coding RNA. RefSeq lists it as uncharacterized. The record is from RefSeq and is a predicted model, not a curated record. The transcript is spliced from 4 exons. NCBI's taxonomy places the organism in Eukaryota, Metazoa, Chordata, Actinopteri, Characiformes, Serrasalmidae.